Molecule: ribosomal RNA, 305 nt
Filed under: uncultured bacterium
Lineage: Bacteria
Description: bacterial SSU rRNA
Rfam family: Bacterial small subunit ribosomal RNA
Source: RNAcentral
UUUUGCCUACGGGGGGCAGCAGUGAGGAAUAUUGGUCAAUGGGCGAGAGCCUGAACCAGCCAAGUCGCGUGAGGGAAGACGGUCCUAUGGAUUGUAAACCUCUUUUGCCGGGGAGCAAAAAGCGGUACGUGUACCGCAUCGAGAGUACCCGGAGAAAAAGCAUCGGCUAACUACGUGCCAGCAGCCGCGGUAAUACGUAGGUGGCGAGCGUUAUCCGGAAUGAUUGGGCGUAAAGGGUGCGUAGGCGGCCUGCUAAGUCUGGAGUGAAAGGUACCGGCUCAACCGGUACAGGCUCUGGAAACUGG